Long non-coding RNA from Loxodonta africana (African savanna elephant), 2018 nucleotides. RefSeq lists it as uncharacterized. NCBI's taxonomy places the organism in Eukaryota, Metazoa, Chordata, Mammalia, Proboscidea, Elephantidae. The record is from RefSeq and is a predicted model, not a curated record. The transcript is spliced from 3 exons.
CUCAUACGCAUGUUGUUAAUAAACACAGCAGGGCCCUUCAAGCCUAUUUAAAGAUUCUGAAAAUGAAUGCAUAUUGUAAUAAGCAGCAUUUCUAAUGGUUAAAAUGUGUAUGAAUUGGCUAAGUAUUUUAUCUUUUUCCUCUCAGGACCUUUCCUAUUUAAGGGGAGUCACUGAGUUAAAAUUUAAUGUUAAUACUUCUAAGAGGCUUUGAUUUUAAGCUGACUGAAAAGGAAGUUUCUCUAGAAAUAGAUCUAGAUUUAAAAAACCUCCAGCAGCAAUGGCUCCACCUAACGACCAGAAACUGACGCAGUCUAACAGUGGUUUUGUUUUCAAACUUAGAGGCUGUCAUCUGCUUUAAAAAUCUCCAUAAGGCAAGAUGUUUGAUAUCUCUCAUCACCUUACUUAAAAGUGUUCUCAUCCUUUUAAGUUAUUUAAAGGUAUAAAUCCAAGUCCAUCACAUAAAAACAUAAAUAUUAAUAAAGUAAUUUUUAAAAGUAAGUCAUUGUCUAUUUUUUAAAAGUAAACUAGAGUCUAGACCAGAGAUUUGUCCAGCGUAGGUGAAAAGAAUCAUUUAAUUCAGCGAGGAAAGGUAAAUCCUGUGUGACCAGACAUGCUGGGGAGGAUACCAUCAAUCAGAUUCAUCAAUCAUGACUACAUUCUUGUAGGCCAGGUAUCAAAAGAUUUUAAGCAGGAAUUUGACUCUGACCACUAGUUUAUAUAUUUAACAAAUACUUAUUGGCACAAUGCAAGACAUUUGACAUGUUGCCUGAUCAAAACAUACAUAGUUCCUCCCUUUUUAGAGUUUUCCAUCUGUUGCUAGGUGCCUUUGAGUUAGUUCUGACUCACAGCAACCCUAUGUACAACAAAAUGAAACACUGCCGGCUCCUGCGCCAUCCUCACAAUCGUUGCUAUGUUGGAGCCCAUUGUUGCAGCCACUGUGUCAAUCCAUCUUGUUAAGGGUCUUCUUUUUCACUGGCCCUCUAUUUUACCAGGUGUGAUGUUCUUCUCCAGGAACUGUACCCUCCUGAUUUCAUGUCCAAAGUCUCACCAUCCUCGCUUCUAAGGAGCGUUCUGUCUGUACUUCUUCCAAGACAGAUUUGUUCCUUCUUCUAGCAGUCCAUGGUAUGUUCUUCGCCAACACUGUAAUUCAAGUGCAUCGGUUCUUCAGUCUUCCUUAUUCCUUGUCCAGCUUUCGUAUGCAUAUGAGGCAAUUGAAAAUCAGUCUAGUGAAGGAGAAAGACAAGAAACAAGUAUAUGUAUAAUUGCACAUUAUGAUGAGGCAUUAGAAGAACUGGGUCUCUAUAAGUAAGGCUAACAGAGGUCUCUGGACAUACAGCUCAACUGCUGAGAUCUGCAGGAGGAGUCAAUCUAAGCAGAGAGUGGGGAGAUCUUCAAAGGCUGACAGAAACUCUGACAGAGACACCAUGACUAAUGAUCACUCGAUUACUCAGAGAGCUGCAGUUUGUGUCAUAAGAUGACCAGCACGAUUCUAGACACCAUGGCUACAUUCAAGGCAGAAAGAAGAGGGAAAGAGGCACUAUUAGCCACAACCAUCCAGUAUACUAGGAAAGCAAAAACUUCUCCAGAAAUCCUCAGUAGACCUUCAGAUAUGUUUCACAGAAUCUGUAAGGAAAUGCACACGAAGAAGAAAACAUUUCUUACAAGGGCCAAACAAAACCUUUCUGAUGAAUCAAAUCUUCUCUUAAUAUAAACAAAUGAAAAAUAAUAAUUCUACCCUGAAAAGGCGAUUCAGGUGAUUUUGGAACUGGAAGGCCCUAUGGAAAUCAUCUGGGUUGAAGCUCUCAUUUUAUAGAUGAAGAAACUGAACAAGCGACUUGCCCACGGCCAAAGCCUAUAAUUAAUGGCAGAGUCUGGAUUGGAAGCCACAAUCCUGAUGUCCAGUCUAAACUUGCUUCACUGUGCCACACUUGCUCCCAGGCUGAGACUGGCCAUUUUGUUGGAUGGGUUUGUGUGUGGGUGUAUGUCUUUAACAGAAAUAGAAACAAGAGUAUGCAUAA